Molecule: long non-coding RNA, 454 nt
Filed under: Mytilus galloprovincialis (Mediterranean mussel)
Lineage: Eukaryota; Metazoa; Mollusca; Bivalvia; Mytilida; Mytilidae
Source: RNAcentral
UCGAAAGGAAAUAAACCAUAGAAAUCAAUAACAUAGAUGAAAUUGUGCUUUGUCUACUUUUUGAUGAAAAAAAAGCUCAUUUCGAUGCAUAUAACGUCAUUUUAAGGGUGUCCCGCUGUUACAAUUUUGUUUAAUGUGCGUCUUUGAAAUCCCAGUGCGGAUUCAUUAGUAAGUAGAAUGGUUUAAAAUUUUACCAAUAUAUUGUAUACAUUUAACGUUUAAUGAAGUAAUAGACGUUUUUUUACUAUAAGAGUAGGAAGAACGUCAGAAAAGUUUAAAUAAAAAAAGAGAAAAAAUGUCCCAAUUUGCUGCUUAACCCGUAAAAAAACUUUCUGUCUUCAAUUUCAUAAUAUAUAACAUACGAAAAUGGAUUUUAAUAAUAUCAGAAAAAUUAUACAUGUUCCGAGGAAGCUAUCUGAAGUCAUCGUUAUGUAACUGCGGUCUUAUUUUAAAA